GAUGAACGCUGGCGGCGUGCCUAAUACAUGCAAGUCGAGCGAAUGGAUUAAGAGCUUGCUCUUAUGAAGUUAGCGGCGGACGGGUGAGUAACACGUGGGUAACCUGCCCAUAAGACUGGGAUAACUCCGGGAAACCGGGGCUAAUACCGGAUAACAUUUUGAGCCGCAUGGUUCGAAAUUGAAAGGCGGCUUCGGCUGUCACUUAUGGAUGGACCCGCGUCGCAUUAGCUAGUUGGUGAGGUAACGGCUCACCAAGGCAACGAUGCGUAGCCGACCUGAGAGGGUGAUCGGCCACACUGGGACUGAGACACGGCCCAGACUCCUACGGGAGGCAGCAGUAGGGAAUCUUCCGCAAUGGACGAAAGUCUGACGGAGCAACGCCGCGUGAGUGAUGAAGGCUUUCGGGUCGUAAAACUCUGUUGUUAGGGGAGAACAAGUGCUAGUUGAAUAAGCUGGCACCUUGACGGUACCUAACCAGAAAGCCACGGCCAACUACGUGCCAGCCGCCGCGGUAA
Molecule: ribosomal RNA, 515 nt
Filed under: uncultured bacterium
Lineage: Bacteria
Description: partial 16S ribosomal RNA
Rfam family: Bacterial small subunit ribosomal RNA
Source: RNAcentral